Molecule: transfer RNA, 69 nt
Filed under: Bellator egretta (streamer searobin)
Lineage: Eukaryota; Metazoa; Chordata; Actinopteri; Perciformes; Triglidae
Description: tRNA-Ala
Rfam family: tRNA
About the family: Transfer RNA (tRNA) molecules are approximately 80 nucleotides in length.
Source: RNAcentral
AAGGCUUUAGCUUAAUUAAAGUAUCUGUUUUGCAUGCAGAAGAUGUGGGUUAGUCUCCCGCAGGCCUUA